UACGUAGGGGGCAAGCGUUGUCCGGAAUCAUUGGGCGUAAAGCGCGCGUAGGCGGCCCUGUAAGUCCGUUGUGAAAGUCAAAGGCUCAACCUUUGAAAGCCGAUGGAUACUGCAGGGCUAGAGUCCGGAAGAGGCGAGUGGAAUUCCUGGUGUAGCGGUGAAAUGCGCAGAUAUCAGGAGGAACACCAAUGGCGAAGGCAGCUCGCUGGGACGGUACUGACGCUGAGGCGCGAAAGCGUGGGGAGCAAACAGG
Molecule: ribosomal RNA, 253 nt
Filed under: uncultured bacterium
Lineage: Bacteria
Description: partial 16S ribosomal RNA
Rfam family: Bacterial small subunit ribosomal RNA
Source: RNAcentral